RNAcentral lists this ribosomal RNA (1002 nucleotides) under Triticum aestivum (bread wheat). RNAcentral's name for it is "partial small subunit ribosomal RNA". The record is from RNAcentral. Lineage: Eukaryota; Viridiplantae; Streptophyta; Magnoliopsida; Poales; Poaceae.
AUGCCUCGCCUCUACCCCACCACGCCCAUGCUCCGCCUCCUCCCCCUGCCUUCACGCCGCUGGGAUCCCCGCGGGGCCUUUGCCUCAGCCACGGAGCGCGCCCGCGCCGGGACGCUCAGCCCUGAAGACGCACACCACCUGUUCGACGAAUUGCUACUACAGGCCAACCCCGUCCCCGAGCGCUCCCUCAACGGCUUCCUUGCCGCGCUCGCCCGCGCUCCGUCCUCCGCUGCUCUCAGAGAUGGACCCUCCCUUGCUCUCGGCCUCUUCAACCGCGUCUGCCGAGAAGAAGCAGGACCGCGGGUGGUGCCGCCCACAGUCUGCACAUACAACAUCCUCAUGGACAGCUGCUGCCGUGCACGCCGUCCGGACCUAGGCCUUGCCUUCUUCGACCGCUUCCUCAGGAUGGGCCUCAAGGCAGACCAGAUCGUCGCCAACAACCUCCUCAAGUGCCUCUGCCACGCAAGACGGACACAUGAGGCUAUCAACGUGCUGCUUCAUAGGAUGUCUGAGUUCGGAUGUGUGCCUAAUGUCAUCUCAUACUCUAUAGUACUUAAGAGCUUAUGUGACGAUAGCAGGAGCCAGCAAGCGUUCGACCUGCUCCAGAUGGUGAGGAAAGAAGGAGGUGCCGGCUCCCUCAAUGUGGUGGCGUAUAGCACAGUGAUUCAUGCUUUCUUUAAGGAAGGGGAAGCAAGCAAGGCAUGUGAUCUAUUCCAUGAGAUGAUGCAGCAAGGGAUUGUGCCUAAUGUGGUGACAUAUAGCUCGAUUAUUGAUGCCUUGUGCAAGGUCAGGGCAAUGGACAAGGCAAAGUUGGUCCUUCAGCAGAUGGUUGAUAAUGGUGUUCGACCAAAUAUGUAUACAUGGAACUCAUUCAUGUACUCCCUUUGCAAGAAUGGAAGAAGCAAAGAAGCUGCAGAAUUUUUUGACUCCAUGACCCCCAAGGGCCUUAAACCUAAUAUCGUCGUGUACUCUACUCUUCUUCACGGGUAUGCUAGCGAAUGA